GACGAACGCUGGCGGCGUGCUUAACACAUGCAAGUCGAACGGAAAGGCCCCUUUGGGGGUACUCGAGUGGCGAACGGGUGAGUAACACGUGAGUAACCUGCCCUUGACUUCGGGAUAACUUCAGGAAACUGGGGCUAAUACCGGAUAGGAAUCCUUGCUGCAUGGUGGGGGUUGGAAAGCUUCGGCGGUUUUGGAUGGACUCGCGGCUUAUCAGCUUGUUGGUGGGGUAGUGGCUUACCAAGGCUUUGACGGGUAGCCGGCCUGAGAGGGCGACCGGCCACCUUGGGACUGAGAUACGGCCCAGACUCCUACGGGAGGCAGCAGUGGGGAAUAUUGCACAAUGGGCGGAAGCCUGAUGCAGCAACGCCGCGGGCGGGAUGACGGCCUUCGGGUUGUAAACCGCUUUCAGCAGGGGCGAAGCUUGUGGUGACGGUACCUGCAGAAGAAGCACCGGCUAACUACGUG
RNAcentral lists this ribosomal RNA (465 nucleotides) under uncultured bacterium. RNAcentral describes it as "partial 16S ribosomal RNA". It matches the Rfam family "Bacterial small subunit ribosomal RNA", at positions 28 to 507 of the family's 1533-position model. The record is from RNAcentral.